UGCAGGCCUACAGGGGGGCACGGAUCUGUGCCCGCAAAAGUCACAGGUCUGGGGAUCUACGUGCCUAGGUACCCCUUCCUGUACAAUGAUGACUGUACUGUUCUGUUUCUGGUUUUUUUUCCCUCUAAGUCGCUAUUCAGUUUUCCGUUUCAAUGUCAGCAGUCCGCACUUGGGAGUAGUACCUGCCAACAUUCUGAUGCAGUGACGAAUUUGGGCCGUGUUUAGUUGGGGAAUUUGGGAGGUGCCAAAUUACUGUUACAGCACUGUAGCACACUGUAGCGUUUCGUUUGUAUUUGUGAAUUAUUG
Molecule: long non-coding RNA, 306 nt
Filed under: Setaria italica (foxtail millet)
Lineage: Eukaryota; Viridiplantae; Streptophyta; Magnoliopsida; Poales; Poaceae
Description: long non-coding RNA (SITA_LNC007208)
Source: RNAcentral